AUAUUAUCAUGAAUAAACAUGGACAGUAUUGAAUUACAUUUAUACCUUCGGCUUAACGGAAGGUAAAAGUCCAAGUGUGACGUGUGAGUGAAUAUCAGUCAGCGUGAACAGUGCAGUGUCACUAUUUAUCUAUUUAUAGGCACAGGGCGCAACCUGUGUAGAAUUACAUUCAUGCCCUCGACACUUACUAUUGACUUAGAGAAAUCUAUCGAGGACUAGACAACCUUUUCCCCUUUAAGUCGGUUUCAUUUUCCAUCGUUAAGCCGAAGCUUCUUCACGGGUAGCUUCAGCAUUGAUUCAUCCUUCUCCCGAACCGCGCUCUCCAUAUUAUUGUAUAACUUCAUUUCAUGUCCGAAGGUUCCUGUACAUAUAUUAUACUUGGGAAAUAUGUUAGUCGUGUUUUUGAGGACCUUCGGAAGACGAAGGCCCCCAACAUUCUUGUUUAUGAUAUGUAUUUUAAUAUUUUUUGAUUGAUAAUUUGAUGAACUAGCAUGCAUAUGUUAAGCGAUAGCUAGACUUAAUAUUAUUUGCUUUUUUAAUUGGUAUCUAGAAAUCUUUCUAGUAAUUUUGGUCUCACAAAUGUUUCUAGUCUCUUUGAGGUCUAGCUAUCUCAAGUGUUAAGGGUCGAAACCAAAUAAUGAAUCAAUAUUACAAGUGGUAUUACAAAUGGUAUACACACUUCAAAGUUUUAUCUUAGGCACCUUAGCAACAUUUGGUAGCUUUGCUUCUUCCAUAAUUUUAAAUUAGCAUAUGUGCAAGAUUCAAAUCCAAACACCUAGCACAUAUGUAGGGGAGCAAAUACUAUCAAAAUAGGGUUUAUGAAAUUUGUCCAAAACUUUAAUAGUGUGCAAAGUGCUUGGCAAGCAACACAAAUCCAAACCAAGUUAUUAAUUCAUACUUCGUGAAGUGUAAGUUUGGAAUUAAACACUUUAAUUUCUAUCUUUGUAUGGUUGUCAUCAAUUAUAAAAAAAUGAGAAGAUUGAAAGUUGCAUGCAAAGUUUUGAUAACUGAGACAACUAGUGGCCUGACCUCUACUUUAUUAUUUUGAAUGAGCUUGGUUAGGUCUACAUCCAACAUUGAGCAAGAAUGUCAACCGUGAAAAGGAUGGUAAUAACCAACCAGAAUAAUCAAGUGCUCAAUAUGAAAAGAAAAGUAAAAUACAACGGUUCAAAAUGUAGCCAGGACAUUUUGGCGACGAAUUAGCGUUGUUCAAAAUGUAAUUGGUGUUGCAGAGAUUAAUAAGUCUGUUUCUAACAAUUACCUCACAUAUAUAGAUAUUGUUUAAAUAAGGUAUUCAGUCUACCACACCGCUUAAAAAACAUAGAUAUUCAUAGGUAAUGAGUAUUUAACGAAUAAUUUGUUUUCUGUUGUAACGCACGGACACCGUACUAGUAAAGAGGGAGAAGAGUGUAAAUGAACUUUUGUGACUUUUUGUUCAUUAUCGAUACAUAUUUAUAUAUAGAAAUUACGCCCCAUGACUCCCUACGAUUCCACGACAAGUAUAGGUAUACGAGGGAGGUGUAGAACUCCCAUACACGAGAAUUGUAUGGAAUAAUUGGCUAGUGGGAUAUUACUCCUAACCAUUCUAAAUAAAAGGAUAAAAUCACACCUUAUUAGAAAAAUAUUUGUAACAAAUGCAUGGACAGGUGUGGGCACAUGGGUAUUGGAAUAAGCCAUUGUUACGUGGAGUCGCAGUUACCCUGCAAGUGGAAGGAGCAAAGGUUUUUGGGCGAAAUGCGGUGAAAAAUCGCCUGCCUCAUUUGGAUUCUGGAGACGCUCGUUUUGUCCGCGACUCCGCGUAGCUUGAGCAUGAAUGAUAAACCUUUUGAGUUUUGACGCCACACAGCAAGCAGGGGCAAAAUAUCUAAACUGUUAGAAAGCAACCAACAGCUUUGUCUUCGUACUCGUACCGAGCUAUCACCCGUGGGCCGUGGUGCUGCUGGCUGCUGCAUUUUUGUUCAAGGAAAAGCAACUUCUUUUGAGAACCACAGGUCAGUAGGUCCGGCAAUAUUGUGGCUACCUACUAACCAAAAAGAUGUCCAAAAGCAGACGGAAUUUAACUCUGUUUUGACCACACGAUAUCAAAAAAAAAAAAAAAAACUCAGGUCACAUAAUACCUCUAUUUUUCAGGCCUGUUUCGACUAGGCUUCAUAAAGCGCCGUGUGCAAUAUAUGAGCAUAUAUUUUAGAAUUGAGCAAAUCUAGUCAAACUUAUGGGUGUUUACUAGGUAAGUGCCCGUGCGUUGCGACGUGACAUAAGUUGUUGAAAGAGAUUUAUGGCUACUCGUCCAAGUCAAUGAUAGGCUAUCGUUGUUACUAGACACCAUCAUUUGAGUAAAGAUAUAAGUAUCCGGGAUAGGAAGGAGCGUGAAGUUCUACACAAAACCGAACAGGUGCUUGACGGCUCCUAACUUGCGAAACACGAUAGAGAUCCUCUUGCAUGGACGAAAUCAAUAUGAUAAAAUACAUUUAUAUAAAAAAACACAAAUAGUAGUAGAGAUGCUGCUGUGAUAGUGGAAAUGUCAGCAAGAGUACUAUAUGAACAAAUAUGCUAGCAUAGGCAAGAGUACUGAAGGAUUGAUUUUCAGUAUUUCUCUUAGUUGUGUUAGCAGCCAAGUAAUAUAUGUUUAACUAAAUAGAUGUAGUACUGUCUUGGUUUUCAGUCCAGAAGGUGAAUGAGUGUCAAGUUAACAAUUCCAAUAAUAAAGUUGACAUUGCCCGCAUCUGAUAGCAACCACAUAUCUCGAAAUGACUUGUAGGAUAAAAAUAAGACAGAGAACAUCGCAUUAAUAGAUCUAACAACAUUGGAUGUCCCUGAUUCAUGCUGCAAACUCUAAUGCAAUAACAAAACAUGACCGUAAGAGUGAAUUUCAGUGUUGACGCACCUAAUGAGUUAAACAAAAUGCCAGCCUGAUGCCAUUAAGAUUCCUAGAAAAACAGGCACGAUAGAUCAUGUAGCAGUAGCCGCAGCAGUAGAGGAAGUAGGGAGGCAGUGCUGGUGGAGCCACAUCCAACCUACCAAGAAAUGAGCAAGACUUUUAAGCAUCCAUACUUUUUUUACCAUCAACACUGAUAUUCUUUUUUUCACAAGUGAUGAAUACCUAGGCUGGUCUGUAGGCAAGGGGAAAAAUCAAACAUAUAGACUAAAUGAAACUUAAACAAAAAACUAAUUACCUAGACAUAGCAAUUGACCCGAGUGUUUAGCCUUGCAAUAUUUUUUUGCUUCAGUCGUAAUUGGACGACAUCUAUGUUGAUGCAUGUUAAAAAAAAUUAACUUGCUCCACACAGGAGCGAAGCCGCAACACGGAUCAGAGGUGGAGGGCAGGCAUUCGGAGCUCACCUCGGCAGGCGGGCAGUUGGGAGACUUGAGUGUUCUCUGGUAUACAAAAAUCUGAUCAUAAACCUUGCUUCCAUGUACUGCAUUUAAGAGAGACUAAUAGCAUAGUAUCCCUGUUUUAUGAGUUCUAGUGUGUGUCUGGUGAUAUGCUCAUGUUCCCUGUUGUCUAUUUAAAUACAAUGUCCAAUUCAGUAUUUAUUUAGGCCAUGUUUGGAUAUUUGGAAUUAAAAUUUAUUCUAAUAAUCAUAAUUUAUACAUAGAUCAAUUAAGCUAAUAUGGUUAUAUGUGGAAUAUAUUUGUAAACUACUGUUAGACAUAGAAAGGAAAUACUUACAUGUUGCAUUUCUAUGUAUACUACUGUUAUUUGAUUGUCUGAAGUGAUCUAUGCAUUGAUCAUAUGACCAGAGAGUAGAUAUCCUCUGGAGGCAUCUGCCUUGGAAAGCUUUAGAUGUCUUCUAUUUGUCCCAUGUCUUUUUCCCGGUCCCUGCCCAUGCACAAAAUGGUACCAUAUUCAGAGUUGCAAAAACAUGCAUAGCACGUUGAAAUGGUAGGCACAAACUUUGAUCUGUAGAAACCGAAAACAUGCAUAGCAACUUGCAUAAAACAUAUACAUGUUGCAAAAAGUAUGCAUCAAUAGUAGGUAUGGGAAUAUAAAUGUUGCUGAAAAUAUACAGGUUGCAGAAACUGAAAAUCUAUACAAACUGAAAACUGCCAUAGAAACUGAAAUUUAGUACAAACUAAAAAGGUAGAUGUCUAUUUAUAUGAAGUGUCUGUUUAUGUUGCAAAAAUACGCAGGUUGUUCAAAGUGGUGUAGGCUGAAUUCUGAAUUUUCAGAUUUAGAAUAGUGCCUAAGUCUGAAUUUCAGUGAUUGUGACAGACUUUGGAGCUUCCUUGUGCUGUUGUGCAUAAUUCAUAAGGUUUUGAACUAUGGUUUCUAUAGAGGAAUUGAAGACCAUAAGUUGGUGUAUAAAUGUAUUUAAGGGUGAUGGAUAUGAUCCUACACAAAAAGUGGAGAAAAAGUUGACUGAAAAUGGACUAUUGGGUUACUCGUGACUGAAAUUGGUUCAGUUAAUUAAAACUGAAAUUCAGUAAAAGGUACCAAUUUUGGAGCUCAUUUGUGGCUAAUCCAUUUGGUUUUGGGCUAAAUUUUAUAUAUAUAAUUUGAAGAUCACAGUAAGGUGAACAAGUUUAUGCAAAUAAUUGGUCUUGUUACUGUGUGUAAUUUGGAGAUAAUAGUGUUACGAAGCUCCCUGUCAGAUUGGGUGCAGAGCUGUUUCAGACCUCUGAAACUGAAUUUUCAAAGUGGUGUAGGCUGCAAAUUGUGUAUCUAUAUGCAGAUAGCAGAACCUGUACUGAAAGUGUACAAGUUGUUUGUAACACUGAAUAAAGUGAAUAAAGUGUUGUAUGUAAUCAGAAUAAAGUGUUGUCUGUCAAGUGGUUUGGUUUGUGAUAGAACAAUGUCUACAUAUAUAGAAAUUAAUUCUCUAGCAACUGAUCUCAUGCACUCUGAACUCUUGCAAGCUUUGUAACAUUUCCAAAUUGCUUCAACCUAUAGGCCUCUGUGAUUGCAGAAUGAAAGGCCUCUGUGUUUCAUCCAAAGUGGGUGCAUGCAUCAAUUUAGUAACAGAAAUUCACCGCAAUGGGUGUACCAGCCAAGCCAAAGAGUCUAAGUUACAGAUUUUGAGGAGGCAGAGUGGCUGGGAGGGAGUCUCAUUUCAGAAUAGGUCCUAUGUUGAACAACGCAUAAGCAGCUUCUCCAUGCUAAGUAGUCGAGCAGAAUAAUAUGCGAGCAAUGACUCGUACCAGCUGUUGGGCAUAUCGGAGCGGGGCAUGCCGUCAGCCUUCUUCGCGUGGCGGUCGCAGCACGGGACGUCGCUGGUGGGCAUCCUCUUCUCUGCGUUGGGCGUCUUUGGCGUAGGCAGGGAAGUAGCUCGGCACGACUUCCGCCCGACGUCCUUGGGCCACCGCGAGGCCCGUGUGCCUUGGGACUGCCUCACAUGGAGCUCGGCCAGGUUCGCGCUCUCCUAUCUCGCACUGACACCUGGGAGCAGCAGGGCCUGCCGUCGCACGCGAUGCUCAGCGGGAUGAUGCGGCCAAAUCCUCACCAGGUUAUGCAAGGACAAGCACAGCGUGUGGUUCAACGCACACGUCGAGGUGGAGCGUCUUAGCCUCCACGACUACCACGCCGUUCCCGCCAAGGAGGGCCUCGCUGUCGAAUGGUACGCCUCGCAGUAGGGUAUGGCGAGGUUUCGGGGGGAUCUUGCGCCGAGAUUUCUGUGGUGCACAUGGAAGAGGGCAAUUCAUGACGGGGGCGGACAACGCGGGAGCGGCGGGUGGGUGUGCGGGGCAGGAGCGUUGGCAGAGGCGGGGACAGGUGGGGGCCUUCUGGGUGUGGACGCCCACGGGCUGGGGCUCCG
This 5753-nucleotide long non-coding RNA is filed under the name Zea mays. RNAcentral's name for it is "long non-coding RNA (ZMAY_LNC000711)". Lineage: Eukaryota; Viridiplantae; Streptophyta; Magnoliopsida; Poales; Poaceae. The record is from RNAcentral.